Long non-coding RNA from Mustela lutreola (European mink), 1629 nucleotides. RefSeq lists it as uncharacterized. The record is from RefSeq and is a predicted model, not a curated record. The transcript is spliced from 3 exons. Lineage: Eukaryota; Metazoa; Chordata; Mammalia; Carnivora; Mustelidae.
GGAUCUGCUGAAGUUUCUCUCUCCCUCUCCCUCUCCUCCUCCCCACACUCACGCUCUCUCUAAAAAUAAAUACAUCAGUCUUAAACAAAAAAUCCUCUCAACAACCUCAUAAAGUCAACCCUAACCCCCAUUUUGCAGAUGCAGAAACAGAAGCAGAGAGUUGAAAUAACUCGUCCACAGUCAUGGACGUGUUGGAGUCAAGAUUCUUUAGUUGUGUUUCUCCCUGACUUGCCCUAGAGACAAAGGAGGAAAAAUAAACUGAAAGGGUCCAGGGCAGGAAAGGUGAAGUAAUUCAGAAGUUGCCAAGACACUUUCAUUCCAGAAAAGUCCUGGCAUGAAAGGAGAGCAAACUGGUCUGUAGGUACUCCCCGUUCCUUUUUCCUAGUGGCUCAGAAGCAGACAAUGGUUUUCUCCGAGCCAAAUGCUCUAGGCCCUGCUGGCACUCAACUCAUAAUUAUGUCCUUUGAAACUCUAGUCGUCUGAUGGCUAGAGCACAGAGGUGAACUGAAGACCUCAGAGAAGCUACUGAAAAGCAGAAGACAAAAAGUCAUUCUUAUCAAUGGUCCUUCCAAGCUAAUUUCAUGUCUGCACAUCUUCGAACCAUUUACCGAGGGCCUUCAUACUCAUGGUCUCAUUCAAUUUCCACAAUAAGCCUAAGGUUACUCACCACACAACUCAGAACAGAUCCUAACGACGUUUUUGUCACAACACUAAGCCAGAGAAGCGCACGUGAUGUUUGAUUUCGGGAGUCGGUGAAGAAGGGCACGACGGACACCCUCCAGGGCAGCAGGAACUGGGAUCCAAUGAGAAAUCAUGUGAUUCCCGUCAAAAGAGACACAGCCUGUGGAUUAAUGUUGGUUUCUCAUCGAGUUGAACAGAAUCUUCUCUCUGUGACCCCGCAAUCCUACCCCUCGUGUUUGCCAAGGGAAAUGAAACCAUUUGUCCAAACAAAGACUUGCACAUGAAUGUUCAGAGAGCUUCAUUCAAGUAGCCCCAAACUGGAAACUGCCCAGAUAUCUAUCAGCAGGAGAACGAAUAAACAAGUUGUGGUACAUACAAUGGAAUGCUUCUCAGCGAGGAAAAGGACUGAGCUGAGAUGCAUGUGACAUCACAGAGGAAUCUCAGAAUCCUCAGGGUAAGUGAAAGCAGCCGUGUGUCAGAGCACGGCCUGGGUGAUCCCACUUAUGUGCUCUUCUUGAAAAGGCCAAACCACUCUGAAGUGACAGAAAGCAGAUCGGUUAUGGCCUGUCUCUGCAGUAGAAAUGGGGACGGACUACGAAGGCACACAAGGGAAUUUGCUGGGAGGGAGCUGUUUCCGAGGACACUGAUCUCAUGAGCGUCUGCCUUGGUCAAAAUUCUUUAAGCUCAAGAUGCUUCUUCCGUGAGCACUGUGGAUAGCUGGGCUCCAAGAAGAGAAGCCGCAGGGAUGGACUUCACGACGAAGCAGCUCCAGCCCUACCCGCGGAUAACCGGGAGGUGAUGAGAGAUUGCGCGCCAGGGCCAGACUUGCUUUCAUCGCAGAUACCCCCAGGGUACCACUUUCUAAAUCAUCUGUGGUGAAGAACCAGGUGCUUUUUGUUGUUGUUCCUUGUUUAUUUUAUAAAAUAAAAUCACGUAUGCUAGAGGUCA